Molecule: ribosomal RNA, 232 nt
Filed under: uncultured bacterium
Lineage: Bacteria
Description: partial 16S ribosomal RNA
Rfam family: Bacterial small subunit ribosomal RNA
Source: RNAcentral
GCAAGUCGAGCGCACUUUUGGUCUUCGAAUUAAAAGCGAGCGGCGGACGGGUUAGUAACGCGUGGGAACGUACCCUUUUCUAAGGAAUAGCCUCGGGAAACUGAGAGUAAUACCUUAUACGCCCUUCGGGGGAAAGAUUUAUCGGAGAAGGAUCGGCCCGCGUUAGAUUAGAUAGUUGGUGGGGUAAUGGCCUACCAAGUCUACGAUCUAUAGCUGGUUUUAGAGGAUGAUC